This 207-nucleotide ribosomal RNA is filed under the name uncultured bacterium. RNAcentral's name for it is "partial 16S ribosomal RNA". It matches the Rfam family "Bacterial small subunit ribosomal RNA", at positions 568 to 774 of the family's 1533-position model. The record is from RNAcentral.
CGCGUAGGCGGUGCUCUAAGUCCCGUGUGAAAUCCCCCGGCUCAACUGGGGAAUGGCACGGGAAACUGGAGUGCUUGAGUUCGGGAGAGGGAAGCGGAAUUCCGGGUGUAGCGGUGAAAUGCGUAGAUAUCCGGAGGAACACCGGUGGCGAAGGCGGCUUCCUGGACCGACACUGACGCUGAGGCGCGAAAGCUAGGGGAGCAAACG